Molecule: ribosomal RNA, 1038 nt
Filed under: Amblyomma babirussae
Lineage: Eukaryota; Metazoa; Arthropoda; Arachnida; Ixodida; Ixodidae
Description: SSU rRNA
Rfam family: Eukaryotic small subunit ribosomal RNA
Source: RNAcentral
GGCGAAACCGCGAAUGGCUCAUUAAAUCAGUUAUGGUUCCUUAGAUCGUUUCUUUCUACUUGGACAACUGUGGCAAUUCUAGAGCUAAUACAUGCAUUGAGCCUGAAGGCCUUUGGCUGACGGGUGCUUUUAUUAGACCAAGACCCAUCGGGUUCUGCCCGUACACUGUGGUGACUCUGGAUAACUUUGUGCAGAUCGCAUGGCCAUGAGCCGGCGACGUUUCUUUCAAGUGUCUGCCUUAUCAACUUUCGAUGGUAGGUUACUUGCCUACCAUGGUUGUUACGGGUAACGGAGAAUCAGGGUUCGAUUCCGGAGAGGGAGCCUGAGAAACGGCUACCACAUCCAAGGAAGGCAGCAGGCGCGCAAAUUACCCACUCCCGGCACGGGGAGGUAGUGACGAAAAAUAACAAUACGGGACUCUUUUGAGGCCCCGUAAUUGAAAUGAGUACACUCUAAAUCCUUUAACGAGGAUCAAUUGGAGGGCAAGUCUGGUGCCAGCAGCCGCGGUAAUUCCAGCUCCAAUAGCGUAUACUAAAGCUGCUGCGGUUAAAAAGCUCGUAGUUGGAUCUCAGUUCCAGACGAGUAGUGCAUCUACCCGAUGCGACGGCUCGGACUGAACAUCAUGCCGGUCCUCUCUUGGUGCCCUUCAUUGGUGCGUCUCGAGGUGGCCUGCGCUUUUACUUUGAAAAAAUUAGAGUGCUCAACGCAGGCGAGUCGCCUGAAUAAACUUGCAUGGAAUAAUAGAACAAGAGCCCGUUUCUGUUCUGUUGGUUUUUGGAAUACGGGCUAAUGAUUAAGAGGGACAGACGGGGGCAUUCGUAUUGCGGCGCUAGAGGUGAAAUUCUUGGACCGUCGCAAGACGAACUACUGCGAAAGCAUUUGCCAAGAAUGUUUUCUUUGAUCAAGAACGAAAGUCAGAGGUUCGAAGGCGAUCAGAUACCGCCCUAGUUCUGACCAUAAACGAUGCCAACCAGCGAUCCGCCUGAGUUACUCAAAUGACUCGGCGGGCAGCUUCCGGGAAACCAAAGUAUUGGGUCC